RNAcentral lists this ribosomal RNA (812 nucleotides) under Spirocerca sp. SAN-2004. RNAcentral's name for it is "eukaryotic LSU rRNA". It matches the Rfam family "Eukaryotic large subunit ribosomal RNA", at positions 396 to 944 of the family's 3401-position model. The record is from RNAcentral. Lineage: Eukaryota; Metazoa; Nematoda; Chromadorea; Rhabditida; Thelaziidae.
GGCGUGAAACCGCUGAGAUGGAAACGGAUAGAGUUGACGAAACUUGUCGGUAUUCAACGGAUCAACUUAAUAGCCUUACGGUUUUUGUACUUCAUUUUUUUUUUUAAAAUGGAGGCAUUAACGUAAGUUUUGCCGUUAAGUAUAAAUGCUUUGAUUUGGUGUAUUUACUGACGGUAUGCGCUGAGAGCUUCGUUAUUGCAUGUUGAUAUGUUAUCGUAGUGGACCAUAUCAAUUUUGAUAUGGAAACCUACAUACAUUCGGAGACAUGUCUUUGAUGAAGUUUAUCCAGUAACUUUCGCURUMGUAGUGYUGCAUCAUUUAUGAUUUUUGAUCGAUUUAACAUUUAAAUGUGGUCGCUUGCGACUUUAUCAAUUAAUGUUAAUCGAUAGAUUAUAAAUUUUGAUGCGUUUAAAGUUACAUCUCGGUGUGAACGUCAAUCACCUAUCCGACCCGUCUUGAAACACGGACCAAGGAGUCUAGCAUAUACGCAAGCUAUUGGGUGGUAAACCUAAAAAGCAUAAUGAAAGUAAAGAACAUCUCGUUAUGUUUGAUAUGUGAUCCGURWUUUGUUGUUGUUAAAAUUUGGAAGUAAUUCYAAAAUGUUAACACACACAACUACGGCGCAACAUAGCCCCGUCUUAAUUGCAUGCAAUGGGGCGGAGGUAGRGCGUAUACGCUGGGACCCGAAAGAUGGUGAACUAUACCUGAGCAGGAUGAAGCCAGAGGAAACUCUGGUGGAGGUCCGAAGCGAUUCUGACGUGCAAAUCGAUCGUCUGACUUUGGUAUAGGGGCGAAAGACUAAUCGAACUAUC